RNAcentral lists this ribosomal RNA (253 nucleotides) under uncultured bacterium. Its description in RNAcentral is "partial 16S ribosomal RNA". It matches the Rfam family "Bacterial small subunit ribosomal RNA", at positions 524 to 776 of the family's 1533-position model. The record is from RNAcentral.
UACGUAGGGUCCGAGCGUUGUCCGGAAUUAUUGGGCGUAAAGGGCUCGUAGGCGGUUCGUCACGUCGGGAGUGAAAACUCGGGGCUUAACCCCGAGCCUGCUUCCGAUACGGGCAGACUAGAGGUAGGCAGGGGAGAGCGGAACUCCUGGUGUAGCGGUGGAAUGCGCGGAUAUCAGGAAGAACACCAAUGGCGAAAGCAGCUUUCUGGGACGGUACUGACGCUGAGACGCGAAAGCGUGGGGAGCGAACAGG